UUUGGGCACAAGAAUGACCUAAAACGGAGUCCGGAUGAGAGAGUUACGCCUGUUUGAAGUUUUCAUAUCUGUGCUGGAAGCAGAACCGCACGUGCGGGAAAUGCGGCGCACGUGCGGUGAUGUGCGGGGCAGCAGCUCAAAAACUUGAUUUUUGAGUCAUUUCUUAGAUUUUCUUUUCCUCUCUUCUUCUUCCCUCUUCCAUGUCCGAAACCCUAGCUCCCAAAACCUUGAUUUCCUCCACUUUUCUCAACAAAUUAACCAUGAAUCUUGCAUCAAGGAUGGAGAAUAAGAGGAGAUCACCACUUUCUACCGAAUGGAAUUCCGAAAUUUUUGAGGGCAUAACCUGAGAAGGACGAGCACCCCGUUAUAGCACUGUCCUGCAUUUGGAGGUCAGCCUCAACUUUUAAUGCUCGUCUUCCUUGUUAGCCUCUGUGUGUCCAAGCAUUUGGGUGAAGCCUACCCGUUUGGUGAAGUUUUGGCUUAGAUUCUGAUUGUCUAUAAUAUGUUGUAACUUCUAAUGUUUUUUUUUAUUAUACGCCCAAACACGGGCGGGGUUGUAUAUGUGUAUGUAACUAUUAUUAUCUGUCUAUUUGUGAUCCUGGCAUGAUAGUGGUCGCUCAAUGGAUGUAGCUCUUU
Non-coding RNA from Camellia sinensis, 636 nucleotides. The record is from RefSeq and is a predicted model, not a curated record. Lineage: Eukaryota; Viridiplantae; Streptophyta; Magnoliopsida; Ericales; Theaceae.